Molecule: ribosomal RNA, 253 nt
Filed under: uncultured bacterium
Lineage: Bacteria
Description: partial 16S ribosomal RNA
Rfam family: Bacterial small subunit ribosomal RNA
Source: RNAcentral
UACGUAGGGGGCUAGCGUUGUCCGGAAUCAUUGGGCGUAAAGAGCGUGUAGGCGGCUCGGUAAGUCCGCUGUGAAAGUCGAAGGCUCAACCUUUGAAUGUCAGUGGAUACUGUCGGGCUAGAGUCCGGAAGAGGCGAGUGGAACUCCUGGUGUAGCGGUGGAAUGCGCAGAUAUCAGGAAGAACACCAACGGCGAAGGCAGCUCGCUGGGACGGUACUGACGCUGAGACGCGAAAGCGUGGGGAGCGAACAGG